CAUUAAUAAAACAAGCAAAAACAAACAAUAACAUCAAAUACCUCAGCUCUACAACUCCUAGCAACCCCCCCAUUUCUUUCCUCUCCUUCACAGCAGGUUUCUGCAUAUAUAUAAUGAUUUUUAUUCUUUCCAUUAUAGCUGGUUUACAGUGUUCUGUCCAUUUUCUACCGCACAGCAAGUUGACCUAGUCACACAUACAUGUAUACAUUCUUUUUUCUCACAUUAUCAUGCUCCAUCACAAGUGACUAAAUGUAGUUACCAGUGCUAUACAGCAGGAUCCCAUUGCUUAUCCAUUCCAAAGGCAAUAGUUUGCAUCUAUCAACCCCAAAUUCCUAGUCCCUCCCCCUCCCUCUUGGCAACCACAAGUCUGUUCUCCAAGUCCAUGAGUUUCUUUUCUGUGGAAAGGUUCAUUUGUGCCUUAUAUUAGAUUCCAGAUAUAAGUGAAUUCAUAUAUGGUAUCUGUCUUUCUGACUUACAUCAUUUAGUAUGAGAGUUUCUAGUUCCAUCCAUGUUGCUGCAAAUGGCAUUAUUUUAUUCUUUUUUAUGGCUGAGUAAUAUUCCAUUGUGUAUAUAUAUCACAUCUUCUGAAUCCAGUCAUCUGUCGAUGGGCAUUUGGGUUGUUUCCAUGUCUUGGCUAUUGUGAAUAGUGCUGCAAUGAACAUGGGGGUGCAUGUGAGAAGACCUUCACUUAUGAUCUCUUCAGUUCCUCAUCACAUAUUAACGACACCUUCCAUGGAAACCUGGCAUUAGUGGCACCACCUUUCCACUAGCCUGGGGUCAGCAAACUUUUUUUGUAAUGUCCUAAAUAGUAAAUAUUUUAGGUUUGGCCAGCCAUGUAUGAGGCUAGCCUCAACUCGGUCAUUAGAGCAUAAAAGCGGACAUAGACAAUACAAAAACAAGUGACAUUAGCUCUGUAUUCCAACAAAACUGUUUUUGGACACAGAAAUCUGAAUUUAAUACAAUGUUCAUCGAUAGAAAACUUCUGGUUGUUUCUAACCAUUUAAAAUUACAGGGGUAAUUUAACCCACCCUAGCACAGUGGGUUAAGAAUCUGACUGCAAUGGUCUGGGUUGCUGUGGAGGCCUGGGUUAAAGGAUCUGGCAUUGCCACAGCUGCAGCUCGG
RNAcentral lists this long non-coding RNA (1122 nucleotides) under Sus scrofa (pig). RNAcentral's name for it is "lncRNA (ENSSSCG00055027034.1)". Lineage: Eukaryota; Metazoa; Chordata; Mammalia; Artiodactyla; Suidae. The record is from RNAcentral.